This 324-nucleotide small RNA is filed under the name Arabidopsis thaliana (thale cress). Its description in RNAcentral is "ATSL022220". The record is from RNAcentral. Lineage: Eukaryota; Viridiplantae; Streptophyta; Magnoliopsida; Brassicales; Brassicaceae.
UAAAAAAUUGAGAAAACAUUGUAAUGAUUUGAAAAUUAUGUAUAAAUAGUUGGAUGAUACAAAAUUUGAUGAAUGACCUAAAUGAUGGGAAGCGGAUAUCAAUAAUUUAGCAUACAAUGUACUUAAGAGAUAUAAACUUCACUGUAGAAAAAAAAAGAGACUUACAAAGUUACAAUCAUUAGAGCUCAUAUACUUAUAAACGGAGUCUUCUUCUUCUUCACCCUGUAGCUACUUGAAGAUUAGUUAUCAAACUUCAUUGCUCCAUUGCAAUAACUAGAUUAAUCACAAGAAAGAAAAAACAUCUGUUGAAAUUUUAAUAUCUUA